This 504-nucleotide ribosomal RNA is filed under the name uncultured bacterium. RNAcentral describes it as "partial 16S ribosomal RNA". It matches the Rfam family "Bacterial small subunit ribosomal RNA", at positions 30 to 523 of the family's 1533-position model. The record is from RNAcentral.
AUUGAACGCUGGCGGCAGGCCUAACACAUGCAAGUCGAACGGUAGCACAGAGAGCUUGCUCUCGGGUGACGAGUGGCGGACGGGUGAGUAACGUCUGGGAAACUGCCCGAUGGAGGGGGAUAACUACUGGAAACGGUAGCUAAUACCGCAUAACGUCGCAAGACCAAAGUGGGGGACCUUCGGGCCUCACACCAUCGGAUGUGCCCAGAUGGGAUUAGCUAGUAGGUGGGGUAAUGGCUCACCUAGGCGACGAUCCCUAGCUGGUCUGAGAGGAUGGCCAGCCACACUGGAACUGAGACACGGUCCAGACUCCUACGGGAGGCAGCAGUGGGGAAUAUUGCACAAUGGGCGCAAGCCUGAUGCAGCCAUGCCGCGUGUAUGAAGAAGGCCUUCGGGUUGUAAAGUACUUUCAGCGGGGAGGAAGGCGGUGGAGUUAAUAACUUCACCGAUUGACGUUACCCGCAGAAGAAGCACCGGCUAACUCCGUGCCAGCAGCCGCAGUAA